This 327-nucleotide unclassified non-coding RNA is filed under the name fungal sp. RNAcentral describes it as "partial internal transcribed spacer region". The stretch from base 1 to 46 matches the Rfam family "Eukaryotic small subunit ribosomal RNA", at positions 1786 to 1831 of the family's 1831-position model. Lineage: Eukaryota; Fungi. The record is from RNAcentral.
AAGUCGUAACAAGGUCUCCGUAGGUGAACCUGCGGAGGGAUCAUUAACACGUUUAACAACGUACCCACCAAACAUUGGAAACAGCCGCAAGGCAGUUCUCUCCCUCUAUCAAUUGCUUGCAAUGGAUGGAGGCUAUUCCUUCUAUCAACCCCUUUCCAACUUCAAUGUCGGCUUGCGCCCUGUGUGCAUGUCGCCAUUGUCCUGUCUGACCUGUAUUCUAUGUAUAGUCAUUGUGACAGUUUGGACUUUGUCCUCUCUGUCUUCUGUCUGUUUAUAGUUGAUAUUUAAUGCAAAGCACAACUCUUAGCAACGGAUAUCUUGGUUCUC